GGACGGCGUACCGGAGCCGGGCCGGCCGGCCCGGUCCCGUUGGGGCCGGGACGUGCAGGGCGACGUCGUCGAUCCGUUCCGCGUCGGCGGCCGUCGC
Molecule: transfer RNA, 97 nt
Filed under: Streptomyces roseiscleroticus
Lineage: Bacteria; Bacillati; Actinomycetota; Actinomycetes; Kitasatosporales; Streptomycetaceae
Also listed under: 1 other name
Description: tRNA-Asn
Source: RNAcentral